UUACAACAUAGUCAAGGCCUAGAGACUGGAGACAUGACAUCACGGUAGAGGGCUACAAACUGGAGACAUUACAACAUAGUGGAGGGCUACAAACUGGAUACAUUUAAAACAUAGUGGAGACCUACAGACUGGGGAUAUGACAACAUAGUGGAGGCCUACAGUAUGGCGACAUUACAACAUAGUGGAGGCCUGCAGACUGGGGAUAUGACAACAUAGUGGAGGCUAACAGACUGAAGACCUAUUGAUUGGAGUCAUGACAACAUAGUGGAGUCCUGCAGACUGGGGAUAUGACAACAUAGUGGAGGCCUACAGACUGGAGUCAUGACAACAUAGUGGAGGCCUACAGACUGGAGACAUGACAACAUAGUGGAGGCCUACAGACUGGAGACAUUACAAAAUAGUGGAGGACUACAGAUUGGAGACAUGACAACAUAGUGGAGGCCUACAGACUGGAGACAUUACAACAUAGUCAAGGCCUAGAGACUGGAGACAUGACAUCACGGUAGAGGGCUACGAACUGGAGACAUUACAACAUAGUGGAGAGCUACAGACUGGAGACAUGACAACAUAGUGGAGGCCUACCGACUGGAGACAUGACAACAUAGUGGAGGCCUACAGACUGGAGACAUUACAUCAUAGUGAAGGCCUA
This 649-nucleotide long non-coding RNA is filed under the name Salmo salar (Atlantic salmon). RNAcentral describes it as "lncRNA (ENSSSAG00000089281.1)". Lineage: Eukaryota; Metazoa; Chordata; Actinopteri; Salmoniformes; Salmonidae. The record is from RNAcentral.